This 168-nucleotide ribosomal RNA is filed under the name Anampses twistii (yellowbreasted wrasse). RNAcentral describes it as "partial small subunit ribosomal RNA". Lineage: Eukaryota; Metazoa; Chordata; Actinopteri; Labriformes; Labridae. The record is from RNAcentral.
CACCGCGGUUAUACGAGAGACCCAAGUCGAUGGCCCUCGGCGUAAAGAGUGGUUAAGAUUCAAUUAAUACUAAAGCCAAACGACUUCAAAGCUGUUAUACGCACAUGAAGACAUGAAGCCCAACUACGAAAGUGGCUUUAAAUUUCUGACUCCACGAAAGCUAUGAUA